GCUGGAGUACAAAAGAGAAGAUUCAAGUUCCCGCGACCAAUCGGCUUGUUUGCCGCGCCGUGGUUUUCUCCCACCAUAUUCUCGUUGGUCGUGAUGAACUUGUCGACCCGCUGCUGCCUCUUGUGGAACAUCUUGGAGCCUUUGUUGGUGCUUCUCUGCAAUAUUCUGGUUGCUGCGAGGCGCGAAGAGGUCCUGUUACCACAUCAGCCCCUCGAUCACACUUAACGCCCGCCCACCCAUGAUAACCCGCCUGCUUUAGUUCCAAGGUUGGCAUCACGUCAGCACAUUCCCAUAUCGGCAGCAUCCUCCAGAAUGCCAACUAAAAAGUCCUCCAAGGUUCUUCAGCCGCCGGACCUGUUUAGACCAGACGAGACUUGGGUCUCAAUUUUCCCCCGGACUUGCCCCGAUCGACAAAGCGUCUUGAAACUUUGGAACAAAGUUGGACUCACGACGGCAUUAUGAAG
Long non-coding RNA from Hippocampus zosterae (dwarf seahorse), 464 nucleotides. RefSeq lists it as uncharacterized. Lineage: Eukaryota; Metazoa; Chordata; Actinopteri; Syngnathiformes; Syngnathidae. The record is from RefSeq and is a predicted model, not a curated record. The transcript is spliced from 3 exons.